UACAGAGGGUGCAAACGUUGCUCGAAUUAUUGGUCGGUAAGCAGCACGUAGGCGGUUCGUUAAGUCGGAUGUGAAAGCCCUCGGCUCAACUGAGGAAGUGCACCCGAAACUGGCGAGCUUGAGUACGAAAGAGGAUCGCGGAAUUCCCGGUGUAGAGGUGAAAUUCGUAGAUAUCGGGGAGGAACACCGGUGGCGAAGGCGGCGAUCUGGGUCGAUACUGACGCUGAGGUGCGAAAGCGUGGGGAGCAAACAGG
This 254-nucleotide ribosomal RNA is filed under the name uncultured bacterium. Its description in RNAcentral is "partial 16S ribosomal RNA". It matches the Rfam family "Bacterial small subunit ribosomal RNA", at positions 524 to 776 of the family's 1533-position model. The record is from RNAcentral.